CAAUAAAACUUUAUUUACAAAAACAGUGGCUGGGCAUAGUGGCUCAUGCCUGUAAUCUUAGCACUUUGGGAGGCCAUAGUGGGUAGAUCACUUGAGCCCAGGAGUUGGUGACUAACCUGGGCAACAUGCAGAAACUCUGUCUCUACUAAAAAUAUUAAAGGUAGUGGCAAAAACCGCAACUGCUUUUGCACCAACCUAAUAGAAAAAUUAGCUGGGCAUGGUGGUGUGUGCCUGUGGUCCCAGCUAGUUGAAGAGCUGAGGUAGGAGGAUGGCUUGAGCCUGGGAGUUGGAGAUUGCAGUGAGCUGAGAUCACGAGACUGCGCUCCAGCCUGGGAGAUAGAAAGAGACCCUGUUUCAAAAAAAGAAGAGGAAGAAGGAGGAGGAGGAGGAGGAGGGGGAGGAAGAGGAGAAGGAGGAGGAGGGGAAGAAAAAAGGCACAGUAAAGAGAAAGAGGUGUUAUUUUAGAGUGCUUAGGAAAGGCCACUUUGAUGAGGCCAUAUGGGAGCAAAGAUAAACAUAAAGCAUGAGUUCAAGCUAUGUGGAUAUGACAGGUAGGGAAAAUAUUCUAGGCAGAGAGAAAAGCAAGCGCACAUGUUUGGUAUAUUGGAAGAAGAGAAAGGAGGCCAGUUGGGUUGGAGUCCAGGGAAUGAAUGGAAGUUGAGACCAAAGAGGUAGAUGUGGUAAAAUUUUGUAUGUCCUUUCAGGCCGUGUAAAAGAAUUUGAUUUUUAUUCUUAAUGAGACUGGAAACCAUUGAAAGAAGAGUGAUAUGAUCUACCUUCUUGGUUACUGGGAUGACCCUAGCAGCCAUGUGAAAUAGACUUUAGGAAGGUAGGAGUAAAAGCAGAGAGACCUAAUAAGAGGCUAUUGUACUAAUCCACAUGACAAAUGAUGUCCAGGGUGAUCAGAGCAGAGGGGCUAAGAGUUGUCAGAUUCUGAAUAUAUAUUGAAGGCAGAGAUGAAAAGUAGAGUGUGAAGGAAGUAUGGAGCCAAGGAGGAGCCAAAAUUUUUUACCUGAUUAAGUAGGAAAAUGUAGUUUUCCUUUAUUGAGAUGGUGAAGACUAUAGAAGAAACAGAUGAGUGGAAGUAAUGAAGAUUUUUUUUUUAAUGAUGUUAUGUUGGACCUCUCAGUGGAAAUGUUAAGUAGGUAGUUAAGUAAGUGCUUUGGAGUUCAGUAGCAAUGUCAUGGGUAGAGGUAAAUAGUUGGGAGUUACCUGAAAUAGAUGGUACUUAAAGACACGAAAUGAGGUUGGAGAAUCACUUGGGAGAAGUGAGAAAAGAAGAGAUCAGGGACUGAGCUCUGGGGCACUCAAAUGUUUUGAGAGUGGGAAGAUGAAGAGCUAACAACAACAGCAACAAACUUAUAAAGAGUGACUAGUGAGAUAGAAAGUGAAGUGAGAGUGACCUCUCAGGGGCUAAGUGAAGAAAGUGUCUCAAGAAGGAGGAAAUGAACAACUUUGGGAAGUAUUGCUAACAUAUUGAGCAAGGUAAGGACAGAGACAUGACCCAGACUGAGCAGCAUGGGAGCCACUGUUGACUUUGACAAGAACAGUUUGAGGAGGGGUAAAGAUAAAAGCCUGUGUAGACUGUAUAUAACAGAGAAUGCGAAGGGCCUAAAUGGUAUCUUCGGUCUGGGAUCUCAAAAUACUUUAUACUCUAUGAUAACAUUUUUCAUAAUGAGAAUUAUUGACUUACAUAGUGAUCUUAAGAGCAAUUUAAAUGUUGAAUCAUUUAUAAAAUUGUUAAUCAUCUUUUACUUGUUUUUAUUUUAUUUUUGUUUUUCACAUUCUACAACACAACACUAGGCACAUAGUACAUACUCAUUAAAUGUUUGUUAAAUGAAUAUGAAAUUGUAAUUUAAGAAGGAAAGAUUUCAUAUAAAUGAAUAUGAAUGCCAUUUUGACUGCAAAAAGUGACACUUAAAAGCAGAAGUUUAAAAGGGUGGAAUGAGUACUAUGUGCUAUAUAGCAUUGUGACACUAUGGAUAUUUGGUUAUACCCUGAUCAUGUUACUCCUCUUUCAGUUCUUUAAAUUAUACAUAUAUCAUCCUGUAUAGUAUAUAGUGAGAUCACUCAGGGGAACUAGUCCAAUUUUACUAAAAAUGAUAGUGAGGCUCUGGAGGAGAUAGGAAAUUUGCCCUCAUUCUGUAGAUUGCGUAUACUUGGUAAAAGAGUCCACAAAAUUUGUAUCACUGCUUUCUUUUGAGGUUCCAAUGUUACUAAUUCACCAUAAUUGUAAGAAAACUCCAAAAAUGUUCACUUCCUUAUCUUUUAGUUAAAGAUCCACUCAAAAAAGUGAGAAUUACUACAAUGAGUUACUUUGGGAUCUGAAUAACAUUGGAUUGAUUAAUUCUCUCUGUUGCAAUGAUUAUUUGAGCAUUCAGUCCUUAGAGUUAUGACUAUUAAAGCACAGAAGCACAAAUUAUUACAUGAUGAUUAAAGUGUCUUUGUGGAUAUACUGCUCAAUAAAAUUAACACUGAGAUCUGAAACACCAUGUUCAAAAGUCAAAUGAUUUUUCCAAGCGGAAAAGGGAGCCUCAUUUUGGCAGAUAAAAAUUGCGAUACUUCUAUCUCUGAGUAAGGAUUAGUGUAGUCAGUUAUUGAAAAUUAGUGAUCUGACUAUAUUGUAUUUAUUUAAUAUAGGAAGAAGUCUUUAUAAAUGUUGGGUGAGUCAUUUCAUAAGACUAAAGCCAAGCAAAAUUAGAGCCCUCCUGGUUGAAGGUAUUUUUAUUGCAAUGAGAAGGUUUCUUUCUGAGUAUUAGACAUACAAGUGUGGUCUAACUUUGGCAUGGAAAGUAAGUCAUGAAUUCUAAGGCAGAGACUCUUAAUUUCUUGAAUAUGUAAUGCCAUAGACAUAUUUAGACACAUUUACUAUAAGAUGCCAAAAACAUACGCAAUCAAGGAAAUUAAGUAGAGGCAACUGAAUAUUUUUUUCCUUUACAUUCCACUUGUCAAUGAUCUCAAGGACCAAAUACCUGUUCUUUAUACAAAGGGCAUAUACAAAGGUUUUACAGAAAAAUAACCUUAUAGAAAAACUCUUAUGAGUUACUCUUUAGUCUCUAGUGAGUUUCCUGUUUUGUAGGUCAUAAAUUUAAUAGGCUGUAAUGCUAUUCAAACAACACAGAUACUUAACAUACCAUGAAAAGCCCAUAAGCUAUGGCAAAUUAUGAAAAUAUCUCAAUGCUGUGGUCACAAAAGUGAACAAUCUUCUUGACAGGAACUUCAAAGGUAAAAUGAAAUUACAUUUCCCACUUAUUUCUGAGGCAUUGACCGGUAACCUUAGUCUCCUGUGAUUUCACCCAUGCUGCUUCUAGAGAUGAUGUUCUAUCCAGCCAGUCAACAAUUCUCAAGCGGAGUGGCUCUAGAAACUCAGCUCUUGAAAACAUCACGGAGCUUUAUCAGUGAUAAGGCCAAGAGGUUGCAACUACUAUUAUCUUUGGACACACAAAAGAAUCACCUGGUCCAGGUCAGAGAGCACUUUUCUGGUGUUCUUGGUGUCAGUAUAAUGUGCCAUUUAAUUAGGAGUCUGGUUUAAAGAGCGCACCUGGGAGUGCGCCAGUGCUGUAGCCUCUUCCUCCCUGGGAGUAUUGCAAAGGUAAACAAAAAAUAAACAAGAUAA
This 3616-nucleotide long non-coding RNA is filed under the name Homo sapiens (human). Its description in RNAcentral is "HSALNT0193062". The record is from RNAcentral. Lineage: Eukaryota; Metazoa; Chordata; Mammalia; Primates; Hominidae.